This 800-nucleotide ribosomal RNA is filed under the name uncultured bacterium. RNAcentral's name for it is "bacterial SSU rRNA". It matches the Rfam family "Bacterial small subunit ribosomal RNA", at positions 8 to 809 of the family's 1533-position model. The record is from RNAcentral.
AGAGUUUGAUCCUGGCUCAGGAUGAACGCUGGCGGCGUGCUUAACACAUGCAAGUCGAACGGGAAAUAUUUCAUUGAGACUUCGGUGGAUUUGAUCUAUUUCUAGUGGCGGACGGGUGAGUAACGCGUGGGUAACCUGCCUUAUACAGGGGGAUAACAGUCAGAAAUGGCUGCUAAUACCGCAUAAGCGCACAGAGCUGCAUGGCUCAGUGUGAAAAACUCCGGUGGUAUAAGAUGGACCCGCGUUGGAUUAGCUGGUUGGCGGGGUAACGGCCCACCAAGGCGACGAUCCAUAGCCGGCCUGAGAGGGUGAACGGCCACAUUGGGACUGAGACACGGCCCAGACUCCUACGGGAGGCAGCAGUGGGGAAUAUUGCACAAUGGGGGAAACCCUGAUGCAGCGACGCCGCGUGAAGGAAGAAGUAUCUCGGUAUGUAAACUUCUAUCAGCAGGGAAGAUAGUGACGGUACCUGACUAAGAAGCCCCGGCUAACUACGUGCCAGCAGCCGCGGUAAUACGUAGGGGGCAAGCGUUAUCCGGAUUUACUGGGUGUAAAGGGAGCGUAGACGGUGUGGCAAGUCUGAUGUGAAAGGCAUGGGCUCAACCUGUGGACUGCAUUGGAAACUGUCAUACUUGAGUGCCGGAGGGGUAAGCGGAAUUCCUAGUGUAGCGGUGAAAUGCGUAGAUAUUAGGAGGAACACCAGUGGCGAAGGCGGCUUACUGGACGGUAACUGACGUUGAGGCUCGAAAGCGUGGGGAGCAAACAGAAUUAGAUACCCUGGUAGUCCACGCCGUAAACGA